RNAcentral lists this unclassified non-coding RNA (252 nucleotides) under uncultured fungus. RNAcentral's name for it is "partial contains 5.8S ribosomal RNA, internal transcribed spacer 2, and large subunit ribosomal RNA". The record is from RNAcentral. Lineage: Eukaryota; Fungi.
AACGCACAUUGCGCCCCUUGGUAUUCCAUGGGGCAUGCCUGUUCGAGCGUCAUUUGUACCUUCAAGCACUGCUUGGUGUUGGGUGUUUUGUCUGCGCCUCGUGCGCAGACUCGCCUUGAAUCGAUUGGCAGCCGGCUAUGUGGAGUUGGAGCGCAGCACAAUAUGCGCUCUACCCCACGGCCGUCGGCGUCCAGUAAGCCUACAAAUCUCACGUUUGACCUCGGAUCAGGUAGGGAUACCCGCUGAACUUAA